AGAUGGAAGUAGGGCUCCUCUUUGUGAAAAAGGGAGGUCUGGGUUGUUUGAAGACUGGACAGGGUCAAGUGAGCAAGCAGGUAGAAACUACUCCAAGUGGAAAGCAUCCUGUCAUCUAGAAGGGACUGCAAAGUGCACUAAAAUAACAGGCUUGGAUAGAUGAAGCUCUUGUGUAACUGAGAGAGCACUUUGUGCCAAUUUCCAGUUUGAAUACAGAUUAGUCACUUGUGCAGAGCCUUUAAUGAAGUCCUGGUCCUGUAGGGAAUUUGGG
This is a long non-coding RNA of Pezoporus flaviventris, 271 nucleotides long. RefSeq lists it as uncharacterized. The transcript is spliced from 3 exons. NCBI's taxonomy places the organism in Eukaryota, Metazoa, Chordata, Aves, Psittaciformes, Psittacidae. The record is from RefSeq and is a predicted model, not a curated record.